This 422-nucleotide ribosomal RNA is filed under the name uncultured bacterium. RNAcentral's name for it is "bacterial SSU rRNA". It matches the Rfam family "Bacterial small subunit ribosomal RNA", at positions 362 to 776 of the family's 1533-position model. The record is from RNAcentral.
UAUUGCACAAUGGGGGAAACCCUGAUGCAGCGACGCCGCGUGAGUGAAGAAGUAUUUCGGAUCGUAAAACCCUGUUGUUAGAGAAGAAAGUGCGUGAGAGUAACUGUUCACGUUUCGACGGUAUCUAACCAGAAAGCCACGGCUAACUACGUGCCAGCAGCCGCGGUAAUACGUAGGUGGCAAGCGUUAUCCGGAUUUAUUGGGCGUAAAGAGAACGCAGGCGGUCUUUUAAGUCUGAUGUGAAAGCCUUCGGCUUAACCGGAGUAGUGCAUUGGAAACUGGGAGACUUGAGUGCAGAAGAGGAGAGUGGAACUCCAUGUGUAGCGGUGAAAUGCGUAGAUAUAUGGAAGAACACCAGUGGCGAAAGCGGCUCUCUGGUCUGUAACUGACGCUGAGGUUCGAAAGCGUGGGUAGCAAACAGG